GACGAACGCUGGCGGCGUGCUUAACACAUGCAAGUCGAACGGUGAAGCGCCUUCCUUUUUGGUGGGUGUGGAUGGGUGGCGAACGGGUGAGUAACACGUGAGUAACCUGCCCCCUUCUUCUGGAUAACCGCAUGAAAGUGUGGCUAAUACGGGAUAUUCUGGGUCUGUCGCAUGAUGGGUCUGGGAAAGAUAUUGUUUCGGUGGGGGAUGGGCUCGCGGCCUAUCAGCUUGUUGGUGGGGUGAUGGCCUACCAAGGCGGUGACGGGUAGCCGGCCUGAGAGGGUGGACGGUCACACUGGGACUGAGACACGGACCAGACUCCUACGGGAGGCAGCAGUGGGGAAUAUUGCACAAUGGGCGCAAGCCUGAUGCAGCGACGCCGCGUGGGGGAUGGAGGCCUUCGGGUUGUGAACCUCUUUCGCCAGUGAAGCAGGCCUGCCUCGUUUGUGGGUGGGUUGACGGUAGCUGGAUAAGAAGCGCCGGCUAACUACGUG
RNAcentral lists this ribosomal RNA (494 nucleotides) under uncultured bacterium. RNAcentral describes it as "partial 16S ribosomal RNA". It matches the Rfam family "Bacterial small subunit ribosomal RNA", at positions 28 to 507 of the family's 1533-position model. The record is from RNAcentral.